This 253-nucleotide ribosomal RNA is filed under the name uncultured bacterium. RNAcentral describes it as "partial 16S ribosomal RNA". It matches the Rfam family "Bacterial small subunit ribosomal RNA", at positions 524 to 776 of the family's 1533-position model. The record is from RNAcentral.
UACGGAGGAUGCAAGCGUUAUCCGGAAUGAUUGGGCGUAAAGCGUCCGCGGGUGGCAAUGUAAGUCUGCUGUUAAAGAGUCUAGCUCAACUAGAUAAAAGCAGUGGAAACUACAUAGCUAGAGUACGUUCGGGGCAGAGGGAAUUCCUGGUGUAGCGGUGAAAUGCGUAGAGAUCAGGAAGAACACCAGUGGCGAAGGCGCUCUGCUAGGCCGUAACUGACACUGAGGGACGAAAGCUAGGGGAGCGAAUGGG